RNAcentral lists this ribosomal RNA (483 nucleotides) under uncultured bacterium. Its description in RNAcentral is "partial 16S ribosomal RNA". It matches the Rfam family "Bacterial small subunit ribosomal RNA", at positions 28 to 523 of the family's 1533-position model. The record is from RNAcentral.
GACGAACGCUGGCGGCGUGCCUAACACAUGCAAGUCGAACGAGGUCCAGGGGAGCUUGCUCCCUGACGACCUAGUGGCGAACGGGUGAGUAACACGUGAGAAACCUGCCUCGGAGUGGGGAAUAACUCGGGGAAACUCGAGCUAAUACCGCAUACCUUCACAUGAUCGCAUGGUCGAGUGAAGAAAGAAUUUCGCUCUGAGAGGGUCUCGAGGCCUAUCAGCUUGUUGGUGGGGUAACGGCCUACCAAGGCAACGACGGGUAGCUGGUUUGAGAGAACGAUCAGCCACACUGGGACUGGGACACGGCCCAGACUCCUACGGGAGGCAGCAGUGGGGAAUCUUGCGCAAUGGGCGAAAGCCUGACGCAGCAACGCCGCGUGCGGGAUGACGGCCUUCGUGGUUGUAAACCGCUUUCAGCAGGGACGAAAAUGACGGUACCUGCAGAAGAAGCCCCGGCUAACUACGUGCCAGCAGCCGCGGUAA